Molecule: non-coding RNA, 144 nt
Filed under: Pan troglodytes (chimpanzee)
Lineage: Eukaryota; Metazoa; Chordata; Mammalia; Primates; Hominidae
Source: RNAcentral
GAACCUCAAGUGUGUCAGCUGUGAAGCAUGUACUGUAUUCUUCUGGUGGAAAUUAGCAUGGCCACUACAUCACAAAUGGAUAUUAUCGCAAAAGUUAAUUGGAUUACUAGUUCUGUUUAAAGAUAAAGAAUCAGACAUGUGCAA